Molecule: long non-coding RNA, 713 nt
Filed under: Numida meleagris (helmeted guineafowl)
Lineage: Eukaryota; Metazoa; Chordata; Aves; Galliformes; Numididae
Description: lncRNA (ENSNMEG00000020296.1)
Source: RNAcentral
CCGAAUUCUUAAGGCAUUACCAUGGGAAUUUUCCCUUUCUUGGGAUUGUAACAGAGCUCUAGGACUAGUUGUUUUUGUGAUGUGCUUCUUGACUGGCUGGAGCGGCCCUCAUUCAGGAACUCCAUCCAAGCAUCUCCUGCAGAGAAUGAAACCAUCAGCUGUCCUCGAAGCGGUGCUCCAUACCGCGGUGACGCACAACGGUUCAAGUAACUGUGAUUUUAAGAACAUCUCCAGUCCAUGUCAUGAAGGAAAGGCUUUGGGAAUGGGGAGAUUGUGCAGAACUGGUCUGUGGUGUACCUGUGGCACACAGAGCAGCCGGAGCUGUCCCUCAAGCAGGGGAGAGAGCAGAGCUGAUGCGUUAAGUGUGAGGCAACAGCAACACUCAAGACAACCUGCAGCUUUGUCAGGAAGAGGGAGUGUGUCUCAGGGACUCGCUGCCCGUGCACCGAGCACUUUAUCACAGGGUUUAUAAAAUGAUGGAGAGGCAGGAGCAGAAGAGCCCCUUGUGCUAUGACAGCUUAUGGGAGAGCAGUACAGGAGGAAAAACUCUAUUUGGUGGAGAAGCUGCCCUGCGCUGGCAGAUUGCUCCUGCAGCCACAGACUGCAAUGUUGGCUCCCUGUUGUACAGCAGUGCUUUCUGCACGGUUUUGCAUUCUGUGCCCGGUCUGUGUUGUCUGAAAUAAAACAAAGUCAGGAUUUAUGGCUGUGGUGCA